This 71-nucleotide transfer RNA is filed under the name Candidatus Harrisonbacteria bacterium CG10_big_fil_rev_8_21_14_0_10_44_23. RNAcentral's name for it is "tRNA-Gln". It matches the Rfam family "tRNA". Rfam says of the family: Transfer RNA (tRNA) molecules are approximately 80 nucleotides in length. Lineage: Bacteria; Candidatus Harrisoniibacteriota. The record is from RNAcentral.
UGCCGGGUAGUGUAAUGGCAACACGCCUCCCUUUGGAGGAGGAACUCUAGGUCCGAUUCCUAGCCCGGCAA